Molecule: ribosomal RNA, 455 nt
Filed under: uncultured microorganism
Description: bacterial SSU rRNA
Rfam family: Bacterial small subunit ribosomal RNA
Source: RNAcentral
GUGCACCAGGCGCGAAUCUUUCGCAAUGCGCGAAAGCGUGACGGAGUGACGCCGCGUGGACGAUGAAGGCCUUCGGGUUGUAAAGUCCAAUCGCGGGGGAAGAAACGGCAGAGGCUAAUACCCUGCUGCCGUGACGUUACCCCGGUCGAAGCGCCGGCUAAACACGUGCCAGCAGCCGCGGUAAGACGUGUGGCGCGAGCGUUGUUCGGAAUCACUGGGCAUAAAGGGCGUGUAGGCGGUGGUGUAAGUCGGGUGUGAAAGCCCUCGGCUCAACCGAGGAAUUGCAUCCGAUACUGCGCCACUAGAGUGUGGAGGGGGAGUGGAAUUCCCGGUGGAGCGGUGAAAUGCGUAGAUAUCGGGAGGAACGCCGGUGGCGAAGGGCGAUCCCCUGGGCCCACAACUGACGCUGAGGCGCGAAAGCUAGGGGAGCAAACAGGAUUAGAUACCCGUGUAGU